AGCCAGCGAAACGCAGCGGGCUGGAGCUGAUGAUGAAAGCGGCACGGCCCUGCGCGGACAGGCUCCUUUCCAUCCCCCGCAGCCACGGGCACACGGACACGCACCGAGCCCGGCUCUGCUGCGACCCCCGCCGGGUACCCCCGCGGGCCGGGGGCUGCGAUGGGGACGGCGCCGCAGGGAGGGGACCCGGCAGAGAGGCAGCGAUGGGAGGAAAGGCGCUGCGCUGGAAUCUCUUUAAGAAUAUAACACAAGAGACGUCGGUAUCCCAGCUGGAUAAUUCAUAAGAUGAAAAGCAACAGCAUUUCUUGGUGCGCCUGCUUUGGCAUACAUCAGCAUUUCCAUCGUCCAAGUGUCCUUUUGCGUCACAUCUCGCCAUUUCAUUCAGCCAAUGAAAUCUCCUUCUUGCAAUAAAAAUAUAGAGACUUUUUC
Molecule: long non-coding RNA, 429 nt
Organism: Onychostruthus taczanowskii (white-rumped snowfinch)
Lineage: Eukaryota; Metazoa; Chordata; Aves; Passeriformes; Passeridae
Exons: 3
Source: RefSeq, a predicted model, not a curated record